Molecule: ribosomal RNA, 533 nt
Filed under: Ornithodoros sonrai
Lineage: Eukaryota; Metazoa; Arthropoda; Arachnida; Ixodida; Argasidae
Description: SSU rRNA
Rfam family: Eukaryotic small subunit ribosomal RNA
Source: RNAcentral
AGCUGCUGCGGUUAAAAGCUCGUAGUUGGAUCUCAGUUCCAGGCGGGUGGUGCAUCUAACCGAUGCCACAGCCCGGGCUGAACAUCAUACCUCCCGUCCCCUGGUGUCCUUCACUGGAUGCCUCUGGGUGGUCGGUGCAUUUACUUUGAAAAAAUUAGAGUGCUCAACGCAGGCGCAUUGCCUGAAUACUCAUGCAUGGAAUAAUGGAACAAGACCCCGUUUCUGUUCUGUUGGUUUUUGGAAAACGGGGUAAUGAUCAAGAGGGACAGACGGGGGCAUUCGUAUUGCGGCGCUAGAGGUGAAAUUCUUGGACCGUCGCAAGACGAACUACUGCGAAAGCAUUUGCCAAGAAUGUUUUCAUUGAUCAAGAACGAAAGUUAGAGGUUCGAAGGCGAUCAGAUACCGCCCUAGUUCUAACCAUAAACGAUGCCAACCAGCAAUCCGCGUGAGUUACUCAAAUGACUCUGCGGGCAGCUUCCGGGAAACCAAAGUAUUUGGGUUCCGGGGGAAGUAUGGUUGCAAAGCUGAAACUU